This is a long non-coding RNA of Carya illinoinensis, 953 nucleotides long. RefSeq lists it as uncharacterized. The record is from RefSeq and is a predicted model, not a curated record. Lineage: Eukaryota; Viridiplantae; Streptophyta; Magnoliopsida; Fagales; Juglandaceae. The transcript has 2 exons.
UCAACUGCACACUAUAUGCGUGUUCAAGUUGAAAUUGUUCAUCAGAAAUGAAUGCAUUGUAGCCCAGUUUGGUUAGCCAUACCUGUACGGAUGGAAUAUUUAUCAAUCCAAAGAUUCCAAACGCCGAAACUCAUCCGUGUUUUAUCUCUGAAGUUUUCAACAGUUUUAAUAAUGUCUGACAAUGGACCGUGAAGAAAUGAAUGCAUUCUUCACUGACCCGUCGUCCUCCUUUACUUUUCUUUUUCCCAUCUCAUUUCGAACAUAUCUGUCUUCAGUUCACGCCCCUUCCCCUCUGCCGAAAUUCACCGCUUCCCCCGGCGAAACCAACGCCAUCCCCACCGCAAUAAACCACCCCUGUGCUUUCAUCGUGGCUGUGUUGUACUCGCUGCAACACUUCGGCCAGCAGGUGAUGCACCGAGACGGCGUUGGUUUUCGUCGGGGACGGUGGAGCACCAUAAAGGUAACCGUACCCCUCUGACCAUUUUUUAUUUUCUUCCCCUCCGCAAAAUUUUUUUUCCCCUCUGCACCAUUUUUCAACUGCAGUGGGUAGAGAUUCCCACGCCUCUAACCUUAUCUUUGGGGAAUCUUGCCUUUCUAGGUUUUCAUUAUCAAAAACAGUCGCCCUAUUUUCCUUUUUCCAUUUCAAAAUCAUCUAUAAAUUGAAAAUGACCCCACUCAGAAAACCCACCACCACCACUGUCUGCAUCCAUCGCACCGCCGCCCCUACGACUACCAUUAAACGCCGCAUUGUAUUCGCAGCCAUCACGGCUCCUCAGACGCGGUCCUUCAAGCCAUACCAGCUAUUGAUGCUCCUGGCAAAGGCACACACUGAAGAUAUGGUAAUCUAUUGCUCCUUUUCAAUUGCUGGAUUUGUUGCCAUAAUAUUGUGCAUUAAUGGCAACAUGAAUGAUCUUGGACUAAGGUACAAAUUAUUUUAUUUGCUGGAUUUUUGA